This 1176-nucleotide long non-coding RNA is filed under the name Dasypus novemcinctus (nine-banded armadillo). RNAcentral describes it as "lncRNA (ENSDNOG00000051538.1)". Lineage: Eukaryota; Metazoa; Chordata; Mammalia; Cingulata; Dasypodidae. The record is from RNAcentral.
GCCCCGCCGCGUCUCGCCGCGUAGGUCCCGCGGAGGCGCUCGCCGGUGCCGGACGCGCAGUCCUUGUUCGGCGCUUCUCCCUUACCUCCUGCGACCUCUGAGCGCUGAUGUGACCACACUCAGUGGCGCCACAGCCUGCCCCAGCGCGCGCCGGAAAAUACUAUUGUUAUGAUAACCACUAGACCUGCCAGGAGCUCUUCUCUGUGCCAGUGUAAUGGACUCUUUGCAAAGAGAAGUGUCCAAUAUACUUAUUUUAAAGCACAUCUUGGCCUCUUACAAUGGUUGAAAGGCAGGAUGACAUUACCAAACAAUCUCAGUGCUUUGGAAGACAUUGGAAUUACAGUCAUACCUUGGUACUUGACAACUUUGAAACUCAUCAAAUUUGAUACUUGACUCAUUUUGACACGAAAACUUUGUCCUGGUACUCGUCAUUUCUUUGGUACUCAGUGCGCAAGCUAGAACUUGUCAGUGUCGGUUGCCUCCUGACUCACUACCCUUCCAGCCAAAACAAAAGGUCUGCAUUAGUCACAUGGUACCUUUUGCCCUGUACACAUCCCAUUGCCAUCUUAGCUUCUACGGUCAGUUUUUGCAUUUUUACAUUUUUUUUCCCCAUCAUGGGUCCUAAGAAAAUGAGCAAUAAUCGUGUUGAGCAGAAAAGAAAAUUACUUUGCACCACCAUUCAGCAAAAUAAAUAAAUAGUUAAACAUGAGAGUGGUAUUUGCAUUACUGAUCUUGUUAGGGAAUAUGGUAUGCCUAGAGCAACUGUCUCCACCAUCAUUAGGAAUAAAGAAGAGAGUUUUUAAAAAGGCUGAUGUUGUGAAAGGAGUUAAAGCAGUAACAAAGCAGUGUUCCCAAGCACUCGUGGAAGUUGAAAAGCUGUGAUUAAUUUGGGUAAACAAGCAGUUAGCGGGCGACAGUGUGCUGGAAGCCAUGAUAUGUGAAAAAGGGAAAGUGUUGGCUGCCAAUCUUUUGAAAAACAAACUGGGACCAAGUGAUGAGGGUGUUGAAGUUUUUAAGGCCAGCCUGGCUGAUUUGAUGAUUUUAAAAAGAAGACCUGCGUCCAUAGUGUUGUGAGGCAUGGUGAGGAAGCUAGUGCUAAUAAAAGGUGAUUGAUGAAUUUGUCAUUGAAUUUCAACAUUACAUAGAGACUAAGGUUCCCCCACCACCACCACCACC